CUCCUCUGUCUUUGCACAUGGAGAUCUGACUAGUGGCUGAAUAUGUUAAGAACAUUGGGCAUCAUUCUGUAGGAAACCUCAGCCAGCCAAACCUUCCACAUCUCCCAUGUUUGUCACUUCUGGACAAAGACAAGGAGUGAAGAUGACAAUCCUGCCAAGCUUGAAGCUUAUAGCUUUAGACAUUUCUGAGUUACACAAUCACAAGAAAGAGAUUGAAGUAUUUU
Molecule: long non-coding RNA, 224 nt
Filed under: Mustela putorius furo (domestic ferret)
Lineage: Eukaryota; Metazoa; Chordata; Mammalia; Carnivora; Mustelidae
Description: lncRNA (ENSMPUG00000026356.1)
Source: RNAcentral